RNAcentral lists this transfer RNA (65 nucleotides) under Agrilinae sp. 1 ACP-2013. Its description in RNAcentral is "tRNA-Asn". The record is from RNAcentral. Lineage: Eukaryota; Metazoa; Arthropoda; Insecta; Coleoptera; Buprestidae.
UUUAAUUGAAACCAAAAAGAGGUACAUCACUGUUAAUGAUGAAAUUGAGAUACAACUCCAAUUAA